AGGAGAGGCCCCUCUUGCAGAUCCGGGCCUACUGCAGCUCCCGCUGGGACUCCGCGGGCUCCGAGGACGCUGUGGCCAAGACCUUUGAGAAGUGUGUCAUUGAAGCCGUGAGCUCAGCCUGCCAGUCGCAGACGAGUAUCCUUGAGGGAGUUUCUAACGAUGAUUUGCAGAAAUUUGGCACAGUUGUGUCUGCCGUGAUCACCAAGUCCUGGCCUAGAGACAGAGGGGAGGCCGUGGAUGACCUGGAUGAAAUUUUUAAGCACCUGCUCACGUGGCCGGAUGUGAAGCAUCUUUUCAGACUGUGUGGAACUGAUGAGAAAAUAUUAGCAAAUAUCACAGACGAAGGCAAGAAGCUGAUGGCCACUGCUGACUCUGUGUUGACAAAAGUUGCUGGUGACCUGCUAAACGGGACGGUCCUUGUCGGGCAGCUGGAGUUGAUUAUGAAGCACAAGAAUCAGUUUCUUGACAUCUGGCAACUAAAGGAAAAAUGUCAUUCACCCCAGGAGAAAUUAGCUGAUAUGAAGAAAGUGCUGGAUUGGAGAAAGGAAGAACUAGAUUUUCUAAAGAAGGAGGAAAGUUACGUUGACGGCCUGCUGAAGCUGUGCGAGAGUGUGAAGCACCUGGUGCCAGUGGACUUUGGAGAGGUUGCAAGAAGACGCUCAGAGGACCUGAGCAGUAAAAGGUUAGAUGACGCCGUGACAGUGAGACUGCCCGCCUCCUCCCACCAGCCAAUCACAACACACUACCACUUGAGCCCCCAGGUCCGAGAAAUGGCUGAAAAGGUAGAUUUGCUGAAAGACAGCCACAUCUUCCAGAUCUUCUGGAAGGAAGCUGCAGAGUGGUUGAGUCAGCCUGCAGAAGAAUCAGAAGGGCAAAUACUGCAGCUGGAAGAGGUGUAUGAUGAUCUGUAUGAGCCUUGCUACGAAAAGUUCCUUGUACUUUAUCAGGACCUGAAGUCAGGAGAGGUCACCUUUGCAGAAAUCAAUGUCUUCUUCAAGGACUUUGUGAAUAAGUACAGUGAACUGACGACAGAGCUCCAGGUCAUGGGUGCUGUGGACAGCCAGAGCCCACGGGACUGGAUCCGGGAGCGGGUUGGGCAGAUCAGGGAGUACCAUAACCUGCACCAGGCUGUCAGCGCGGCCAAGGUCAUCUUGCAGGUCAAAGAGGAUCUGGGACUGACUGGCGACUUCAGUGUUCUUUGCACUUUACUACAUUUUACUGAUAACUCUGAGGACUUCCGCCACGAGAAACUGGUCCAGAUCAGCCCGCAGCUCAUCCGGGCCAAGAAGAUGCUGCAGGACAUGAGCGAGGCCCGGUGCCGGUGUCUGCAGGCGCUGUCCGGGAGGAAGGAGUUCAUCGGCUGGGUGCGGGAGGCGCUGGGAGGCAUCAACGAGCUGAAGGUGUUCGUGGACCUGGCUUCCAUCUCGGCGGGCGAGAACGACAUAGACGUGGACCGGGUGGCCUGUUUCCACGACGCCGUGCAGGGCUACGCCCCCCUGCUGUACAAGCUGGACGCCAGGGCAGGGUUCGGCGCGUUCAUGGAGCACCUGGCAGAACUGUGGAAGGCUCUGGACAACGACCAGCACCUGCCCAAUAAACUGGUGAGUCUCCUUCCUGCUCCAGAGCAGGCCGUGUGGAACGCAGCGUUGCUCUGGCAACGUUAGGGAAACGCAAACGACGGAGGCUUGUACGCAGCCAUUUAAGAUGAUGUUUAAAAAGGUUUUCUCACAAAUGGAAAUUCUUUCUCCAUCUUGCUAUGUUAGAAUGCAGGAUACAAAAUUACUUACAAACAAUAGUAAACUAUGGCACAAAACAUGUGGAGAAAAGAUUAAAAGAAAAUAUGCUAAAAUGUCACCUGUGUUUUUCUCUGAAAGGUAGUAAUUGUCAUUUCAAUCGGUCACUUCUGGAUAUUCUCCAUGUUUCCACAGUCGAUGCAGAUUAGUGUUGUAUAGGAAAGGUGAACGUUUAGGUGUAAGUGAACUACCCGGACCAGGGUCUGCGUUGGCUUACAGGAGUCCCGAGUGGUCCCGCGCCUGGGGCGCUCAGGACAGCCGGCUCUGCGGGUGGCUGGGCAGGAUGUGACCAGGCACGAGCAGGUAGAGCUGUCCUCACUUCUGCUGGAAGUCCACACCCGAGCGGGCCUCGCUGCCGUCUUUUCUUAACUCUCCAUCACACUCAGGGACCACAGUAGGACAUCGGGCACUUAGGCCCCUACGGCCCGGCUGCAGCUGGCACCACUCCGCAGGGCUCCUCGAGUGGAGCGCCGCCCGUGGCUGCUCACCCUCAGCCGCAUAUCCAGAGUCCCGGGUUACGGGCCACGGGGCGCCGGGUGCUGGUGGAAACGUGGGUGCAGCGGCACACAGAGACGGAAAUCCGGCAUGGCGGGUCCUCAGGAGGACUGGCAGGAGCACACAGGAGCCACCUGACCCUGCCACGGGCACUGUGUGGGCGGUGGUGCCCUGCACCUGGGGAGGAGUGACAGGAACACAGAGGGAGGAGGUGCAGGAGGAAGGGGAGGAAAGAAGUCACAGGGACGGUGGCCCGAACCUUUCCUGUCCCAACAGAGUGAUUCUGCCAGGAACUUGGAGUGGUUGAAAACAGUGAAGGACAGUCACGGGUCUGUAGAACUCUCGUCCCUGUCCCUGGCCACCGCGAUCAACAGCAGAGGCAUCUAUGUGAUCGAGGCACCCACAGGUGGCCGAAAGGUGAGC
RNAcentral lists this long non-coding RNA (2711 nucleotides) under Microcebus murinus (gray mouse lemur). Its description in RNAcentral is "lncRNA (ENSMICG00000048474.1)". Lineage: Eukaryota; Metazoa; Chordata; Mammalia; Primates; Cheirogaleidae. The record is from RNAcentral.